UGGAAUUUCAAACUCUAGCAAACAGCAAG
This 29-nucleotide non-coding RNA is filed under the name Mus musculus (house mouse). The record is from RNAcentral. Lineage: Eukaryota; Metazoa; Chordata; Mammalia; Rodentia; Muridae.